UGGUGGGUUGCCUUGUCAGGUUGAUUCCGGUAACGAACGAGACCUCAGCCUGCUAAAUAGUUACGAUUGCUUUUUGCAGUCGGUUGACUUCUUAGAGGGACUAUUGGCGUUUAGUCAAUGGAAGUAUGAGGCAAUAACA
This 139-nucleotide ribosomal RNA is filed under the name uncultured eukaryote. Its description in RNAcentral is "partial 18S ribosomal RNA". It matches the Rfam family "Eukaryotic small subunit ribosomal RNA", at positions 1299 to 1458 of the family's 1831-position model. The record is from RNAcentral.